AGAGUUUGAUCAUGGCUCAGGAUGAACGCUAGCGGCAGGCUUAAUACAUGCAAGUCGAGGGGUAACAUGGGUAGCAAUACCUGAUGACGACCGGCAAACGGGUGCGGAACACGUACGCAACCUUCCCAUAACUGGUGAAUAGCCUUCCGAAAGGGAGAUUAAUACACCGUAACAUAACGAGCAGGCAUCUGCUUGUUAUUAUAGGCUUCGGCCGGUUUUGGAUGGGCGUGCGCCUGAUUAGGUAGUUGGCGGGGUAACGGCCCACCAAGCCUGCGAUCAGUAACUGGUGUGAGAGCACGACCAGUCACACGGGCACUGAGACACGGGCCCGACUCCUACGGGAGGCAGCAGUAAGGAAUAUUGGUCAAUGGACGAAAGUCUGAACCAGCCAUGCCGCGUGAAGGAUGAAGGCCCUCUGGGUUGUAAACUUCUUUUAUCUGGGACGAAAAAAGCUCAUUCUUGAGCACUUGACGGUACCAGAGGAAUAAGCACCGGCUAACUCCGUGCCAGCAGCCGCGGUAAUACGGAGGGUGCAAGCGUUAUCCGGAUUCACUGGGUUUAAAGGGUGCGUAGGUGGGUUGGUAAGUCAGUGGUGAAAUCUCCGAGCUUAACUCGGAAACUGCCAUUGAUACUAUCAAUCUUGAAUCAUCUGGAGGUAAGCGGAAUAUGUCAUGUAGCGGUGAAAUGCUUAGAUAUGACAUAGAACACCAAUUGCGAAGGCAGCUUACUACGGGUGCAUUGACACUGAGGCACGAAAGCGUGGGGAUCAAACAGGAUUAGAUACCCUAGUAGUCC
Molecule: ribosomal RNA, 795 nt
Filed under: uncultured bacterium
Lineage: Bacteria
Description: bacterial SSU rRNA
Rfam family: Bacterial small subunit ribosomal RNA
Source: RNAcentral